GCCAAUGUUCUUGGGAACGGUUCGGGCCAAGGUGCUGAUUUUUCUUACAUCAAGCGAGACUUAAAAUCUCUAGGCCGAAAGGCCGUGCCGGUUCGAGUCCGGCCGCGGGCACCA
RNAcentral lists this transfer RNA (114 nucleotides) under Histidinibacterium aquaticum. RNAcentral describes it as "Histidinibacterium sp. 176SS1-4 tRNA-OTHER". Lineage: Bacteria; Pseudomonadati; Pseudomonadota; Alphaproteobacteria; Rhodobacterales; Paracoccaceae. The record is from RNAcentral.